This 1201-nucleotide long non-coding RNA is filed under the name Neogobius melanostomus (round goby). RNAcentral's name for it is "lncRNA (ENSNMLG00000016279.1)". Lineage: Eukaryota; Metazoa; Chordata; Actinopteri; Gobiiformes; Gobiidae. The record is from RNAcentral.
GGAGGUGAUAGAUUGAGGAACAGUGUGUAUUAAAUGUCACGUAGCCUGAAGCUAACAGCCUUAGCCUUAGCAGCUGUUGCCAUGAGCAAAACAAGAGCUAAAACAAGACCUAAACAUGAAAUACACAUCUGAACUAAACUGCAAACAGCUGUCAGACACUUACCAGUAGAACAAUGAGUGAGCCAUUACUUGAGGACAUCUGUGGGUGUGCUGAGCAAUUAUAUCGGCCCAUCUCACUGACGCAGUUCAGGCUAGCUGUGUCCUUUAGUCAGUCCAACACCAGCGCCUUUUACGUUGUUUCCAGUACAAAACAUGAAUAUAAUUAGAGCCCAUUCUCACAGCCUUCCCACCUGACUGUGACAACGAUUACCUCCGCAUCAGCGAACGAAAAGUGGGCAAAUUAAGCGACUUUGUUGAAAAAACAGGUGCUAUUUUCCCUUAGACCCGCGAAGACAGGAAGUGACUGGGCGCUAGUAUGCGCUACUUCCGGUUGUCGUGAAAAAGGUCUAUUGGAGCUGCGCGAGCUACACGUCACGCAAGGGCCGAGUCUACAGUGAAAAUCCCGCCCUUAUGCCCUUAUUAGGAACAUGCUUCGUCAGAGCUGGGGAGGAGGAGUCUGUAAAUCCGCCAUGAUUUCCCCCUCGAACGUGUCAUUAUGGUAAACGGGGAGGAGUGAGGAGGAGUUGUCUAUUCUUUUUAACGGUCUAUGGUUUGACUCCAUUCAGUCCCGAUGUCGCUGCGGGACCAGAGAGAGACGGGAAGAGGAAGCCAAGGGAGUGUGCGCCCCUAGCAACACAGCCCUCUCUCCCAGUCUCUCCACCAAAUCAGUGCGUCACUGCAACAUCUCCGCAACUAAAAUGUUUCGUCAUUCUGAAUCCCACCACAGGAACAAAGACUGUGAGACUGUGAAUUACAAACCAGAAAACGGGGAAAGAGAAGAGGAACAAUGGCGUUCACCCAUCCUGUUUCAUCCCUGCUAAAAAAGUUAAUGGACUUUUGAAUGGCAGCAAACAUGAAAUUGAACCAUUGAACCUUUGCCCUGGAACGUGUGCAGGACAGGACACUCAUUUAAGGAACGCUCGGUUAAUAUAAAGUGCUGCAUUCUCAACACACAUUCAGCUGUAUGACUUUGCAAAAUGGGUUCAGCGCAAUUGAAAGUGUAAAGCUGAAACGUUGGACUCCACACCACAGAACCGCUCCC